Molecule: ribosomal RNA, 255 nt
Filed under: uncultured prokaryote
Description: partial 16S ribosomal RNA
Rfam family: Bacterial small subunit ribosomal RNA
Source: RNAcentral
UAAUACGUAGGGUGCAGGCGUUAAUCGGAAUUACUGGGCGUAAAGCGUGCGCAGGCGGCUCCUUAAGUCAGAUGUGAAAGCCCCGGGCUUAACCUAGGAACUGCGUUUGAAACUGGGGAGCUAGAGUGUAGAAGAGGGGGGUGGAAUUCCAGGUGUAGCGGUGAAAUGCGUAGAGAUCUGGAGGAACACCGAUGGCGAAGGCAGCCCCCUGGGCUAACACUGACGCUCAUGCACGAAAGCGUGGGGAGCAAACAG